AUCAGCUGAGUCGAUUUGAGACGAUGAAAACACGUGGUGAUGUGAAAUGGCGAGUGUGUAGUGCAGUGCGCGGCGAUAAUGAGAUAAUUGUGAGUGCGGUGAUGGAUGAGACGAAUAAGGUGCGACAAAUAUUACGGUGGAUGAUGUGAUGAUUGUGUAGUGAGUGUCGAGAAAUGUUUUACGUGCCGGCGGACGGCGGGUCCGCGUUAUUCACGCCCGGAAUGCGGACGAGCGGGCGCACGAGUUCGGAAGUGGCGGUGCGGAUUAAGGAGGCCCGUUGGCUGUCGCACGUAGUACACCCUACUUGCCGAAUUUGCCCGGCUGUUAAACGUACUUUUGUGGAAUGUCUGAGAUCAUCCAAUUACAAAGCAGAUAAAUUGUUGAAAUUACUUUUCGAUGAAUUCGAGUCAUAUGGAGACGAAGUAAUAUACGGCAAUUUACGUAAGAUCAGUAUAACAGGAACCACAGUCACAGAUAGUCGACGGUCUGAAACAAUUGCAAAUAUCAACAUUUGUUACGAAUUAAUUAAAUUCUAUAACGUAAAGUCAUGGCCGAGGGUACCAGCAGUGACUAUAUGAUGUGAUGGAAUUAUUGAAGGCGGUGGAAUUUAUCCGUAAAAAGGCAAAAGAUGUAUGUAUCAAUGAAGAACAAAUCAAGACAGUGGCGGAGGAGUGGCGGCGACAGGCAACCGCAUGGGCGACGGGCGACCGCAUGGGCGACGGGCGAGGAGAACGAAAGCGUAACUUUGAUUAAAUAAGGAAGCAAAGUUUAAAUAUGUAACAGGUAGACUCCACAACGCUGAUUCUAUAACGCAGCUCCAUAAAGCAGAGUCCAUAAUACACCAAAAACAAGGUAUGAAUUUUACAUUAUACAUAUAUAUACAUUUACAUAUAUUAUUUACA
Molecule: non-coding RNA, 902 nt
Organism: Nylanderia fulva
Lineage: Eukaryota; Metazoa; Arthropoda; Insecta; Hymenoptera; Formicidae
Source: RefSeq, a predicted model, not a curated record